Molecule: long non-coding RNA, 12557 nt
Filed under: Homo sapiens (human)
Lineage: Eukaryota; Metazoa; Chordata; Mammalia; Primates; Hominidae
Description: HSALNT0312697
Source: RNAcentral
GUUGAGAGGAGCGCACCGGAGAAAGAACACACGAGCUGCGGGACAGUGAGAGGAACACACUGGUAGAAGAGCACACAGGCAGCUGGAUGUCGAGAGGAGCGGAAGAGCACAGCGACAGGCACUGGUGUCGACCAGCGGAACGACGUGGAGUUUGGCCUGGGAGGUCAGAGAAGAAUUUGGCUGCUGGGCAGCCCCACUAUAGGGGAAAACCACCUUCCCACUCCAUUCCCCUUCUGAUCUCCCCAUCCACCUCGCUGAGAGCUACCACAACUCAAUAAAAAACCUAGCACUCGAUCUCCAAGCCCACAUGUGAUCCAAUUUUUCCCGUGCACUAAAGCAAGAACCUGGGAUACAGAAAGCCGUCUGUCCUUGUGAUAAGGCAGAGGGUCUAAUUGAGCUGAUUAACACAAGCCACCUGCGGACAGCUAAGCUGAAAAAGCAUCCUGUAACACACGCCCACUGGGGCCUCAGGAGGUGUAAACAUUCACCCCGAGAGGCUGCAUGGGUCCGCGCCCAUGGUCCCCAUGACUUGCCUGUUUGCCUGCUCUGGCUAAGGGUCUUGACCAGUGGGGCACUGAAGAAGCGAGCCACACCUCCAUCGUACGCCCUGCGAGGAGGGGUCUCACUCAGUGACCCAGGCUGAAUGCAGUGGAACAAUCAUGGCUUACUGUAGCCUUGACCUUGAGGGCUUAAGCAAUCCUGCCACCUCAGCCUGCCUAGUACUGGGACUACAGAAAUUGCCACAGUCACCUCAACCUUCAGCAACCACCAACUUGAUCAAUCAGCAGCCAAUAACGUGAAGUCAUGACCAUUCACCAGCAAAAAGUUUAUGAUUCACCAAAAUAUUAGAUGAUCAUUAACAUUUUUAGCAAUAAUGUAUUUGUCAUUAAGGUGUUAGUGCAUUGGAAAAUCAUUUAAAGAAUGUAUCAGCUAAUUGAAGGCUUAUGUACAUUCUUCUAACUGCUGGAACUAAUAAGAUAUGAAUGAUGAAGCUUAUAUUCUUCUAGGAAUGAUAUAUACUUCACACAAAUAUAAAUAAAAAGCCUAGAUAAUUACAAAUAAGUUAUAUGAAUGAAGUUGACAGUAACUGAAAGAAGUCCGUUUAAAUAUGGUUGUCGGAAAGCCUCUACAGAAGGUGCCAUCUAAACACAGAUCCAAGGGAUACCGGUAGACUAGCUGUACUAAGAACCAUGGAGAGAGCGUUCUAGAGUGUACAUGUUCAGAGGCCGAAUAGAAUGAAUGAGUUAGACACAUCUGGGAAACGAAAAAGAAGCCAAUGUGAAUGGAAAACAAGGACCGUUACUGUAGGCCAUGAAAACAUUUUCUCUUUCUCUCCCCCUCUCUCUGUUUUUUGUUUGUUUGUUUGUUUGUUUGUUUUGGUUUGGUUUGGUUUUUUUUUUUUUGAGACGGAGUCUCGCUGUGUUGCCCAGGCUGGAGUGCAGUGGCGCGAUCUCGGCUCACUGCAAGCUCCGCCUCCCGGGUUCAUGCCAGUCUCCUGCCUCAACCUCCCGAGUAGCUGGGACUACAGGCGCCGCCACCACGCCCGGAUAAUUUUUGUAUUUUUAGUAGAGACGGGGUUUCACCAUGUUGGCCAGGCUUGUGUGGAACCCUGACUUCAGGUGAUCCGUCCGCCUCGGCCUCCCAAAGUGCUGGGACUACAGGCGCCCGCCACCACGCCCGGCUAAUUUUUUUGUAUUUUUAGUAGAGACGGGGUUUCACCAUGUUAGCCAGGAUAGUCUCGAUCUCCUGACCUUGUGAUCCGCCCGCCUCGGCCUCCCAAAGUGCUGGGAUUACAGGCGUGAGCCAUUGUGCCAAGACUCUUUCUCUCUUUUUUUUUUUUUUUCCUUUCUUCCCUAAGCACAGUGGUAGCCAUUAGAGCAUCUGAGAAGGGAUGUGGGCAAGCCUGGUUUUAAUUCUAAAGUUCCCUUCGGUUAAUUUGUGACAAACUGGAUUGUGAAUGUGUUUCCAUGUAUCGUGGGAAGGAGAAUAUAGAGGUGGGAGUGAAUAGCAAAAAUACACAUAAGAAGACUCUUUAUGAAGUUUUUUGGAUUAUCUGUAAAUAUACACUAUCACAACACUGAAAAUUUAUGCUGAAACUUUCAUUCCAAUCUAUUUUAUUUUUAUUUUUAUUUUUUCUUUUUUUUCCACUUCAAAUGAAUGAGCCUAUUGUGAAUUCUUUUGAAAGGCUUUGUAUUUUUGUCUCUGUGAUACUUCGUGGCUUCAUAUUUGUUUACUUUUACUAUUUGGUUGUUUAGUUAUAUGUAUUUUGUUCCACUAAAAUGUCCCAUUCCGAACAGGUAUGCCUUCUGAACAAUUAAUGCAGUGCACCUAAUGUACAUCAAUCAAAUUGCUAACCGAUGAUGUUUCUCAAGGGUAUUUGUUCCUUGGUAGUUGUCAGAAAUAUAAAUGGUAUAUUUCAGUAUAUAUCACAGUAUACAUUUUCUCAUGUAAUCCCCACAAUAACUCAGCAAAGUGUGGCUUAUUAUCACUUCAACAGAAGAGUCAGAAAGUUUAAGCUACUGCAUCUGGGUAACUAUGCAAAGCCGUAGAGAAGAGUGGAAAAGACACACAAUUCAGAUUUGAAAUAUUUUUUUUCAGUUCUUUGCUGUUCACUUUAUUACAUCAACAUACAAAUAAUAAUAUAUAAAUGGAUUUGUCUUACAAUUGUAUUUUCAGGUUAUAUAUUUAGAACCUGCUCAUUAAUGUUUGUGUUCAUGUGAAAUAAAUUUUGAAACCAUAGAAUUGUCAUUCUAUUUGAUUAGUGAUAAAUUUCCAUCUCCCUGCCUUCCUCCUUCUCCCUCCUUCCCUCCCUCCCUUGUCCCUUCCCUCCCUCCCUCCCUCCCUCCCUCCCUCCCUUCCUUCCUUCCUUCCUUCCUUCCUCUUAUCACAGACCAAAUGGCACUUUUACUUGUAGAGAAAUUUUAAUAAGCAAGGGGAUAUUUUUUAAAUGAGAUUCUAGACUUUAUAUGGAUAAUCAAGUUUAGAAAUUCUUCUCAUAAUUAUUUUUCUUUUUUACUAUUAACAUUAAUAUUUUCAUACAAAUAUUCAGUGGGAAUUUUUUUUGUAUAAAGUUCCAUGAAUUUCAACACAUGUAGAGAUUCACGUGACCAGUAGCACAGUCAGGAUACAGCAGUUACGCCAUUCCAUAAACUCCCUCUUUGCUAUUCCUUUUCAGUGGCACACUUUCCACGCGUCCUUAAUUCUUACAAUCACAGACUGAUUCUCCCUCACUAUAGUUUUGCCUUUUCAGGAAUAUCAUAUAAAUGGAAACAUAUAGUAUGUGACUUCUUGAGAAUGGAUUUUUUUCAUUCAGCAUAUGUCUUUGAUAUCCACCCAAGUUGUAUGAAUAACUAUCCCAUUCCUUUUUACUGCUGUUAUAUUCUAUUAUAUGGAUGUACCAAAGUGUGUAUCUCCUUUUACCCACUAAUGGGCAUUUCAGUAGCUUCUAGUUGUUUGCAAAUAUAAAAAGAAAGUUUUAUAAGGAUUUGUGUACUGUUUUUUACAUGAACAAAAGUUUUUAUAUUUCUUGAGUGAAUACCAAAGAAUGAAGUUCCCACAUAUGUGUGUCUCUUUAUAAAAUACUGCCUAACAUUUUUUUUUUCCAGAGUGGCUGUACUAGUUUUUAGUCCACCAGAUUUGCAUGAGAGAUUGAGUUGCUCUGAAGCCUUGUCAACACUUGGUAUUUUCAGCAUUUUUCACUUAAACCACUCAGGCAGUUAUGUAGCAAUAUUCUUUUAUAGUUUCAACUUACAUUUCUGUAUUGGCUAAUUAUGUGCUAAUUUAUAUUUCUCUAUUGGCUUUAUUCACUUAAUAUCAUUUUCAUAGAUAUUUUUAAAUUUUUUAUAAAGUUCAGUUUAUCAUUACACAUUUUUCUUCUCAUAUCUAAACACUAUUUGCCUAACCUCAGCUCACAAAUAUAUUUUACUACCUUUUCUUGUAAGUGUUUUAUAGUUUGCGGUUUUAAAUUAAGGUCUUUGAUUCAUUUUGAGUUCAUUUUAUAUACAGCUUGUGUUUUUGUGUAGAAAUUCAUUUUUAUUUGGAUGUCCAAUUGCUCCAGCCUGACUUGUUGAAAUCGUCUUUGUACUUUUAUCAAAAAUUAAAUGGCCAUAUUUGAAUGUGUCUACAUUUGGAUUCUCCACACUUCCACUGAUGUAUGUGUUUAUCCUUUUGCCAAUACAGCACUGUCCUCAUGUAUAGUAAGUCUUAAAAUUAGCAACUGUCAUUCCUCCAAUUUCAUUUUAUUUUUCAAACUUCCUUUGGCUGUUUUUGUUUCUUCGACUUUCUUUAAGCAUUUAAAAACUGGCAUAUAUAAACCUACAAAAAAAAUCCUGCAUGAAGUUUUAUUAAAAUUAAGUUAAAUCUAUAGAUCCACUUGGAGAAAAUUGAUAUCUUUACUAAUCUGAAUCAUAAGUUCAUGAACUCAGUUUAUCUUUACAUGUAUUUAUGUUUUUCUGGAUCUUUUCCAUCAGUAUUUUAUAGUAUGCAUCAUACAGAUCUUGUAGAAACCUUUUUGACUUACCUAAUUAUUUCAUUUUUGUAGCUAUUGAAAAUUUGUUUUAUGAUAUGGGUAUUCAAUUACUUAUUGCUAGUUUAUAUAAAUGUAUAUUUUUUGUUGUAUAGGACUUGUGUACUGAAACAUUCCUAAUCCCACAUGUUUGUAUGUUGAGUGUUUUGUAGAUUUUUUGGGAUUUUCAAUGUAAAUAAUCCCAUCAUCUGUAAAUAGGGACAAAUUUCCAUUUUUAAUUUUAUUUUAGUUUUUUUGCCUUGUUGUAUUAUCUAGGACAUUCCAGUAUGAUGCUGAUUAGAAAUGUUGAGAAUGGAUACACAUGCCUUGUUUCUAAUCAUGAGUGGGAAGUUGCAUUGUCUUUCACCAUUCAGUAAAAUGUUAGCUGUAAUUGUUUUUGUGGUUGCUUUUUGUUUUGUUUUGUUUGGUAGAUAUCUUUUACUAGGUAGAAGAUGUCUUCUCUAUUCUUACCAUGAAGAGAGUUUUAUUAUUGAGGUACAAUGAAUAUUAUUUUUUCUGCAUCAGUUAAUAUGAUACAUUGAUUUUUUUUAGGCUGUUAAUGGUGUAUUGCAUUGAUUUAUCUUCAUAUAUGAAUCCAACCUUCCAUUGGCAGUAUAAACCUCACUUGGCCAUUACAUGUUUGUAUGUGUGUGUUUGCAUCUGUAUAUAUGUAUAUGCAUAUAUUUAUAUAUAUAUGUGUGUAUAAUAUACAACUUUGAUUUGUUAACAUUUUUCUCAUAACUUUUGCAUCUAUAUUCGUGAAAGAUAAUUGCUUCCAGUUUUCUCUUCCUGUUCUCUUUUUGCCUGGUUUUGAUGUCAGGAUAAGACUGGCUUCGAAAAAUGAUUUGGGAAGUGUUCACUUCCCUCUGUUGUCCAAAAGAAAUGUGUAAAUUUGGCAUUAUUUUGUCUUCUGAAACUCAUGUGAAAGUAUUUCUGGGCCUAAAGAUUAUUUUUAAAGAUUUUGAACUAAAAAUUAAGUUUAUUUAAGAGUUAUAGAAAUAUUCAGAUUAUCUCUUUUUGUUGGGUGAGUUUUGAAAUUUUUUGUUUUCUGAAAAAUUGCUUUAUUUUUAUUUUAUUUAUUUGUUUUAAUUUUUAAGUUAUACUUUAAGUUCUGGGGUACUUGUGCAGAAUGUGCAGUUUUGUCACAUAGGUAUACAUGUGCUAUGGUGGUUUGCUGCACCCAUCAACCUGUCACCUACAUUAGGUAUUUCUCCUAAUGCUAUCCCUCCCCUAGCCCCCCACCCACCGACAGGCCCCAGUGUGUGGUGUUCCCCUCCCUGUGUCCGUGUGUUCUCCUUGUUCAACUCCCACUAUGAGUGAGAACAUGUGGUGUUUGUUUUUCUGUUCUUGUGAUAGUUUGCUGAGAAUGAUGAUUUCCACCUUCAUCCAUGUCCCUACAAAGGACAUGAACUCAUCCUUAUUUAUGGCUGUAUAGUAUUCCAUGGUGUAUGUGUGCCACAUUUUCUUUAUCCAGUUUAUCAUUGAUGGGCAUUUGGGUUAGUUCCAAGUCUUUGCUAUUGUAAAUAGUACCGCAAUAAACAUGCAUGUGCAUGUGUCUUUAUAGUAGAAUGAUUUAUAAUCCUUUGGGUAUAUACCCAGUGAUGGGAUUGCUGGGUCAAAUGGCAUUUCUAGUUCUAGAUCCUUGAGGAAUCACCACACUGUCUUCCACAAUGGUUGAACUAAUUUACAUUCCCACCAACAGUGUAAAAGUAUUCCUAUUUCUCCAUAUCCUCUCCAGCAUCUGUUGUUUCCUGACUUUUUAAUGAUUGCCAAUCUAACUGAUGUGAAAUGCUAUCUCACUAGAGUUUUGAUUUGCAUUUCUCUAAUGACUAGUGAUGAAGAGCAUUUUUUUAUAUGUUUGUUGGCUGCAUAAAUGUCUUCUUUUGAGAAGUGUCUGUUCAUAUCCUUUGCCCACUUUUCGAUGGGGUCGUUUGUUUUUUUUUUCUUGUAAAUUUGUUUAAGUUCUUUGUGGAUUCUGGAUAUUAGCCCUUUGUCAGAUGGAUAGAUUGCAAAAAUUUUCUCCCAUUCUGUAGGUUGUCUGUUCACUCUGAUGAUAGUUUCUUUUGCUGUGUAGAAGCUUUAGUUUAAUUAGAUCCCAUUUCUCAAUCUUGGCUUUUGUUGCCAUUGCUUUUGGUGUUUUAGACAUGAAGUCUUUGCCCAUGCCUAUGUUCUGAAUGGUGUUGCCCAGGUUUUCUUCUAGGAUUUUUAUGGUUUUAGGUCUUAUGUUUAAGUCUUUAAUCCAUCUUAAGUUGCUUUUUAUGUAAGAUUUAAGGAAGGGGUCCAGUUUCAGUAUUCUGAAUAUGGCUAGCCAGUUUUCCCAACACCAUUUUUUAUAUAGGGAAUCUUUUCCCCAUUGCUUCCUUGUGUCAGGUUUGUCAAAUAUAAGUUGGUUGUAGAUGUGUGGUGUUAUUUCUGAGGGCUCUGUUCUGUUCCAGUGGUCUAUAUAUCUGUUUUGGUGCCAGUGUCAUGCUGUUUUGGUUACUGUAGCCUUGUAGUAUAGUUUGAAGUCAGGUAGUCUGAUGCCUCCAGCUUUGUUCUUUUUGCUUAGGAUUUUCUUGGCAAUGCAGACUCUUCUCUGGUUCCACAUGAACUUUAAAGUAGUUUUUUCCAAUUCUGUGAAGAAAGUCAUUGGUAGCUUGAUGGGGAUGGCAUUGAAUCUAUAAAUUACCUUGGGCAGUAUGGCCAUUUUCAUGAUAUUUAUUCUUCCUAUCCAUGAUCUUGGAAUGUGUUUCCAUUUGUUGGUGUCCUCUCUUAUUUACUUGAGCAGUGGUUUGUAGUUCUCCUUGUAGAGGUCCUUCGCAUCCCUUGUAAGUUGUUUUCCUAGGUAUUUUAUUCUCUUUGAAGCAAUUGUGAAUGGGAGUUCACUCAUGAUUUGGCUCUCUGGUUGUCUGUUAUUGGUGUAUAGGAAUGCUUGUGAUUUUUGCACAUUGAUUUUGUAUGCUGAGACUUUGCUGAAGUUGCUUAUCAGCUUAAGGAGAUUUUAGGCUGAGACGAUGGGGUUUUCUAAAUAUACAGUCAUGUCAUCUGCAAACAGAGAUAAUUUGAUUUCCUCUCUUCCUAUUUGAAUACCCUUUAUUGCUUACUCUUGCCUGAUUGCCCUGGCCAGAACUUCCAAUACUACGUUGAAUAGGAAUGGUGAGAGAGAGCAUCCUUGUCUUGUGCCAGUUUUCAAAGGGAAUGUUUCCAAUUUUUGCCCAUUCAGUAUGAUAUUGGCUGUGGGUUUGCCAUAAAUAGCUCUUAUGAUUUUGAGAUACAUUCUAUCGAUACCUAGUUUAUUGAGAGUUUUUAGCAUGAAGGGGUGUUGAAUUUUAUCAAAGGCCUUUUCUGCAUCUAUUGAGAUAAUCAUGUGUUUUUUGUCAUAGCUUCUGUUUAUCUGAUGGAUUACGUUUAUUGAUUUGCUUAUGUUGAACCAGGCUUGCAUCCCAGGGAGGAAGCCGACUUGAUCGUGGUGGAUAAACUUUUUGAUGUGCUGCUGGAAUCGGUUUGCCGGUAUUUUAUUGAGGAUUUUCUCAUCGAUGUUCAUCAGGGGUAUUAGCCUGCAAUUUUCCUUUUUUGUUGUGUCUCUGCCAGGUUUUGGUAUCAGGAUGAUGCUGGCCUCAUAAAAUGAGUUGGGGAGAAUUCUCUCUUUUUCCAUUGUUUGGAAUAGUUUCAGAAGGAAUGUUACCAGCUCUUCUUUGUACCUCUGGUAGAAUUUGGCUGUGAAUCCGUCUGAUCCUGGACUUGUUUUGGUUGGUAGGCUAAUAAUUACUGCCUCAAUUUCAGAACUUGUUAUUGGUCUAUUCAGGGAUUCGACUUCUUCCUGUUUUAGAUUUGGGAGGGUGUAUGUGUCCAGGAAUUUAUCCAUUUCUUCUGGGUUUUCUGGUUUAUUUGCAUAGAGGUAUUUAUGGUAUUCUCUGAUGGUAGUUUGUGUUUCUGUGGGAUCAGUGUUAAUAUCCUCUAUAUCAUUUUUUGUUGCAUCUAUUUGAUUAUUCUCUCUUUUCUUCUUUAUCAGUCUGGUUAACUGUCUAUUUUGUUGAUCUUUUCAAAAAACGAGCUCCUGGAUUCAUUGAUUUUUUUUAAGGGUUUUUGUGUCUUUAUCUCCUGCAAUUCUGCUCUGACGUUAGUUAUUUCUUGUCUUCUGCUAGCUUUUGAAUUUGUUUGCUGUUGCUUCUCUAGUUCUUUUAAUUUUGAUGUUAGGGUGUCAAUUUUAGAUCUUUCCUGCUUUCUCUUGUGGGCAUUUAGUGCUAUAAAUUUCCCCCUACGCACUGCUUUAAAUGUUUCCCAGAGAUUCUGGUACCUUGUGUCUUCAUUCUCAUUGGUUUCAAAGACCAUCUUCAUUUCUGCCUUCAUUUCGAUAUUUACCCAGUGGUCAUUCAGGAGCAGCUUGUUCAGUUUCCAUGUAGUUGUGCGGUUUUGAGUGAGUUUCUUAAUCUUGAGUUCUAAUUUGAUUGCACUGUGGUCUGAGUGACUGUUUGUUAUGAUUUCCAUUAUUUUGCAUUUGCUGAGGAGUGCUUUACUUCCAAUUAUGUGUUCAAUUUUAGAAUAAGUGCAAUGUGGUGCUGAGAAGAAUGUAUAUUCUGUUGAUUUGGGGUGGAGAGUUCUAUGGAUGUCUAUUAGUUCUGCUUGGUCCAGGGCUGAGUUCAAGUCUUGAAUAUCCUUGUUAAUUUUCUAUCUCAUUGAUCUGCCUAAUAUUGACAGUGGGGUGUUAGAGUCUCCCACUAUUAUUGUGUGGGAGUCUAAGUCUCUUUGGAGGUCUCUAAGAAGUUGCUUUAUGAAUCUAGGUGCUCCUGUAAUGGUAAAGGGAUCAAUGCAGCAAGAAGUGCUUUAUUUUUAAUAGUUUUUAAAAAUUCAUUUGGGUAGAAAUGUUCAUGGUAUGUACUUACUAGUCUUUAAAUAUCUGCAGUGUUCAGGUAGUGAUAUUCUCUCUUUUAUUUCUAAUAUUGUUAAUUAUUAUCUCAUUAUUUUGUCCAUCUUACUAGCAAUUUGCCCAUUUUUUGCUACCAUUAAGAAAUUUUGUUUCAUUGAUUUUUCUUUGUUUAUUUUAAAUUUUGUAAAUCUCUGCUCUCAUGUGUAUUGUUUUCUCCUGUGAUUUUUUUGGUUUAUUUUACUGAUGUUAUCCUACUCUCUUACUAUAAAGCUGAUAAUAUUACUUAAAAAAUGUAUUCUUCCCUGUUCUAAACUGUAUAUUUAGAUUGCUGUAUAUAUCCAAAUCUAUACUGCUUUAGCUAUAUCCCAUAAAACUUUAUGUAUUGUAUUUUCAUUUUUAUCAGAUCAAAAUAUUUAAUAAUAUACAUUGAAACUUCCUUAUUAUUCUAUGCAUUAUUUAGUAGUGUUGAUUAAUUUUUUAGAUAAAUGAUAUUCCUGUUAUUAUGACAUUGAUUUCCAGUUUAAUUUGAGUACAGUCAGAGAAGAUUUUUGGUAUGAUUUCAAUUAUUUUAAGUUUAUCAUAGUUUAUUCCAUUACAUACAAUAUUGUCUAUCUUGGAGAAUGUGUAUUUGAAAAGAAUCUGUAUUCUACUCUUGUUGAAUGCAGUGUAUCAUAAAUGUAAACUAAGUCCAAGUGGUUGACUUUUUUUAUCAAUCUUUUCUAUUCUUGAAUGUUGAUUUUUUUGUCUACUAGUUCCACUGAUUAAAAGCUCAGUGUUGAAGUCUCCAAAUAUAUUUGCAGACUUAUUUACUUCUUUUAAUUUUUGCUUUCUGUAUUUUAAGAUUCUUCUGUUCUAUUUACACAUAGGGUUUUUUGCCAUCUUGAAACAUUAACUCUUUUAUUAUUAUUCAAUUAUGUUCUUUAUCUCUUAUAAUUCACUUUCAGCAAUUCAUUUAGAAAAGAUCUGCUGGCAUACAAUUCUUACUUUUUUUAAACCUUAUUCCUUCAUUCAACUUCUUUAAUGAAGGAUAUUUUUGCUGAAUGUAGCAUUCUGGGUUAUAAGUUCUUUUCAUUUAGAUAUGUUAAAACAUUAAUUUUCAGCUGAUUGUAAUUUUUCCAGGUCUGUAUUUCCUUGGGGUAUUUUGUUUAGGGUUUUCUGAGUUUCUUGUAGGUUUAUGUGCUUUUUAUUUAUUUGUCAAAUUAGAUAUUUUCAGCUUACAGAUGUUAUACAUUUCUUUUCUUUUUUUUUUCUUUUCUUUUUUUUUUUGACAGAGUCUCACUCUGUUGCCCAGGCUGGAGUGCAGUGGCGUGAUCUCGGCUCACCACAACCUCCACCUCCCAGGUUCAAGCGAUUCUCUUGCCUCAGCCUCCCAAGUACCUGGGAGUACAGGUGCAUGCCACCACACCCGGUUAUUUUUUUAAUAUUUAUUUUUAUUAGUAUUAUUAUUAUUAUUUUGGAGAUGGAGUCUCGCUCUGUCGCCCAGGCUGGAGUGCAGUAGUGCAAUCUCAUCUUACUGCAAGGUCCGCCUCCCUGGUUCACGCCAUUCUCCUGCCUCAGCCUCCUGAGUAGCUGGGACUACAGAUGCCUGCCACAACGCCUGGCUAAUUUUUUGUAUUUCUAGUAGAGACGGGGUUUCACCUCGUUAGCCAGGAUGGUCUCGAUCUCCUGACCUCGUGAUCAGCCUGCCUCGGCCUCCCAAAGUGCUAGGAUUACAGAUGUGAGCCACCGCACCUGGCUAGAUGUUAUAUAUUUCUAUAUAUAUCACCUAAAGCAUAUACUUACACAUACAUAUUUGUAAUCAUAUAUCUGAAAGUUGGCAGAAUAACAGAGGUGAUGGGAUUUAAUUAUCAUUUUACAUUAAUUGUCUAUUCUUUUAAUGGAGAGUUAUAUUAUGAUGAAUGACAAAAUACUUUCUUAAUUAAUAAAAUAUUUGUUUCUUCCGUAGUGUGUAUAUAGUAUAUAUAUGAUGUUUUUAUAUUAGAAAAAUCCCUAAUUAUGUUUUUAUUAACAUGACUUCACAUUAUGACUUUACAUAAAUUCCUUUGAAAAUAAUUCUAAAUUACACAGUUUGAGUCAUUGUAGUUCUUUCAUUUUAUAAAUUAAAUUUGUUUUAGCAAAGCUGCUUUUACAGAAGUAGUAGCAAUUUUAGUUACUUUUAUGAAUGUCACUAAAUUUCUUACCAUGUGCAAUUGUAUGUUUUUUCAGCUAUCCAUAGGAAUUACAAAUAAAAUGCACACGAGUUUACAACGUUUUAUUAUAUUAUGUAUAUGGAUGGGUAAUAUCUACCUAUAUUCAUGAUAAUUGAUAACUUAUAACUCUAAUUAAAAUGUCAAGAAUUUCAAAGAUACAAAUAAGCAAAGUAAGUCAUCCACAACUUUAUUUCUGAGACCAUAUAUAGUCCUUUUGUUCAGAUUGUGUCUAUUUUAUGAGCUUGUCAUGAUUAAAAAAUGAAAUAAGGAAUUACAAACGUUAUUAAAUACAAGAAAUAUUUCUUCAUGCUCUGUACGUUUAAUAUUUCAUACUGUGAAAUCCUGUUCAGAACAGAGAUAAAGUAAGUCAUAUUAAAUUUGCUGUGAGCUUGACCCUCUCAAUCUCUGACAUUCUUCAUUUUACCAACAAAGAAAAGUGAAGGAGCAGAAAAUGUAGCAUAACAUUGAUCAUUUUAUCACUGUCAACUGCAAACAAAAUCAUUUACUUAGAAUAGAUUCUUCAAAAAUACUACUUAUUAUAGUUUUAAUCUAGCCUAUUAAUGUCUAAUUGCAACAAAAUAUUUCCUGAUAUUAGAGCUAUAGAUCAGGUGGGGAAAACAUGAAUUUUUAUGUUAAUUAGUUUUAAAUAUUAUGCUUGAAAUCUUUCCAAACAUAAUAAAAUUCAAUUAAUUUAAUGAAUAUUAUUGGUGUCCAGUUUUCAUUUGAAUGGUUACUUAUAAUUCUUACUUUAUCCAAUGAUAUAAAAUGACCUUACUAUUUUAUAGCUGAUAAGGCAUUUUUAAAAGUGGUGAAGGCUACUGUAGAAGAUAACAUUUCCGCAUCAAAUGUUCUUAUGGCUAAACACUCACUUCAAUUUCCAGUUUGAUUAAAACUCAUUAUAAUAAGGAACUCUAAUCAUUAAAACUUUAUUUUAAUGAUUGGAGUAAAAGCAUUAAAGAUAGUUGUAGGAACUUAAGCAUUUUAAAAAUAUGGGUAAUUAUGAAUAAAAUAUGGGUAA